Non-coding RNA from Ruminococcus sp. CAG:17, 90 nucleotides. Lineage: Bacteria; Bacillati; Bacillota; Clostridia; Eubacteriales; Oscillospiraceae. The record is from Rfam.
ACAUAUAAAAGGCAAACCUGUUGAAAAGCAGGGACGCAAAGCCAAGGGUCUAAGGUCACAAUUGAAAGACUAUGAUAGCCGGUUGCCGCA